GAGUUUGAUCCUGGCUCAGAACGAACGUUGGCGGCGUGCUUAACACAUGCAAGUCGAACGAGAACGGUUUCUUCGGAGACCUAGUAAAGUGGCGCACGGGUGAGUAACGCGUAAGUAAUCUACCGUUUGCAUUUGGAAUAACUACGGGAAGCUGUAGCUAAUACCAAAUACGUUUAUAUAGUUACGACUAUAUAAAGAAAGAUGGCCUCUUCUUGAAAGCUAUCGUGCAGAGAGGAGCUUGCGUACCAUUAGCUAGUUGGUA
This 262-nucleotide ribosomal RNA is filed under the name uncultured microorganism. RNAcentral describes it as "partial 16S ribosomal RNA". It matches the Rfam family "Bacterial small subunit ribosomal RNA", at positions 9 to 254 of the family's 1533-position model. The record is from RNAcentral.